UACGGAGGUGGCGAGCGUUGCUCGGAUUUACUGGGUGUAAAGAGCACGUAGGCGGUUCCACAAGCCCUGCCUUAAAGGCCAUGGCUCAACCAUGGUAUGCGGUAGGGAACUGUGGAACUUGAGGGUGGGAGAGGUGAGUGGAAUUCCCGGUGGAAGGGUGAAAUCUGUAGAUAUCGGGAGGAACACCAGUGGCGAAGGCGACUCACUGGCCCAUUUCUGACGCUGAGGUGCGACAGCUAGGGGAGCAAACAGGAUUAGAUACCCCGGUAGUCC
RNAcentral lists this ribosomal RNA (273 nucleotides) under uncultured bacterium. RNAcentral's name for it is "partial 16S ribosomal RNA". It matches the Rfam family "Bacterial small subunit ribosomal RNA", at positions 524 to 796 of the family's 1533-position model. The record is from RNAcentral.